GCCUGCCCAGUGACCCUGUUUAACGGCCGCGGUAUCCUAACCGUGCGAAGGUAGCGUAAUCACUUGUUCUCUAAAUGCGGACUAGUAUGAACGGCAUCACGAGGGUUAUACUGUCUCCUCUUUCUAAUCAGUGAAACUAAUUUCCCCGUGAAGAAGCGGGGAUAAAACUAUAAGACGAGAAGACCCUAUGGAGCUUUAAACAAUAUAGCACUUGCCUUUAACAUAAAAUUUCCGAAUCUUACUCCAAAGCAAUAUGACUAUAAGUUUUUGGUUGGGGUGACCACGGAGCAAAAUUUAACCUCCAUGUUGAAAGAAUUUAAGCUAAGAGUCACUCUUCUAAGCAUCAACAUAUUGACAUCAAUUGACCCAAUACAUUUGAACGACGAACCAAGUUACCCUAGGGAUAACAGCGCA
Molecule: ribosomal RNA, 414 nt
Filed under: Nectophrynoides cf. tornieri HCL-2014
Lineage: Eukaryota; Metazoa; Chordata; Amphibia; Anura; Bufonidae
Description: partial 16S ribosomal RNA
Rfam family: Bacterial large subunit ribosomal RNA
Source: RNAcentral